RNAcentral lists this unclassified non-coding RNA (390 nucleotides) under fungal sp. RNAcentral describes it as "partial internal transcribed spacer region". The stretch from base 1 to 46 matches the Rfam family "Eukaryotic small subunit ribosomal RNA", at positions 1786 to 1831 of the family's 1831-position model. The record is from RNAcentral. Lineage: Eukaryota; Fungi.
AAGUCGUAACAAGGUUUCCGUAGGUGAACCUGCGGAAGGAUCAUUAUCAUAACGUAUCCACGUAUAAACCAAUUAAUAUAAUGUGAAUUGUAAUGUUUUACAGCCUUUGAUAAUUAAUGAUUGCUAUUCAGUUUUUUGUCUGUGAUUAAGGACAAUUUGAAUAGACUUGGAUUAGCAAUAAUCCUAGCAUUAACUAUUGAAGUGUAAUUUUAAUCAAUAUUAACCAAUUGAACCGAUUAACUUAAUUGUUAUUCAUUCUUUUAUUGUGAACUGAAUUGUUUCUUACUCUCAGGGUAAUACCUUUGAGAAGAAAUUAUAUUUACGAAACAUAAAUUAUGAACAACUCUUAGCAACGGAUAUCUUGGUUCUCGUAACGAUGAAGAACGUAGC